CCCUUAGAUGAUUUGGGCUGCACGCGCGCUACACUGACCCUAACAAUGAGCAACUGUCUGGCCUGAGAUGGCUGGGUAGCCUUUUCAACCCAUGUCAUGAUUGGGCUAGAUUUUUGUAAGUCUUGAUCUCUAACGAGGAAUCCCUAGUAUGCGUGAAUCAUCAAUCCAUGCAGAUUAUGUCCCUGCCCUUUGUACACACCGCCCGUCGCUCCUACUGAUUGGGUGAUCCGGUGAGCUGUUCGGCCAUAGCAAUGUUUCUUGAGCAGUGCAAUGAAUGUUUCGCAAACCUUGCCACUUAGAGGAAGGAGAAGUCGUAACA
Molecule: ribosomal RNA, 319 nt
Filed under: uncultured eukaryote
Lineage: Eukaryota
Description: partial 18S ribosomal RNA
Rfam family: Eukaryotic small subunit ribosomal RNA
Source: RNAcentral